AGCAGCCGCGGUAAUUCCAGCUCCAAUAGCGUAUAUUAAAGUUGUUGCAGUUAAAAAGCUCGUAGUUGAAUUUCGGGGUUAGUAGGUUGGUCAUGCCUCUGGUAUGUACUGGUCUCACUGAUUCCUCCUUCCUGAUGAGCCGUAAUGCCAUUAAUUUGGUGUUGCGGGGAAUUUGGACUGUUACUUUGAAAAAUUAGAGUGUUUAAAGCAAGCUAACGCUUGAAUACAUUAGCAUGGAAUAAUGAAAUAGGACGUUCGAUCCUAUUUUGUUGGUUUCUAGGAUUGACGUAAUGAUUAAUAGGGAUAGUUGGGGGCAUUAGUAUUCAAUUGUCAGAGGUGAAAUUCUUGGAUUUAUUGAAGACUAACUACUGCGAAAGCAUUUGCCAAGGAUGUUUUCAUUAAUCAAGAACGAAAGUUAGGGGAUCGAAGACGAUCAGAUACCGUCGUAGUCUUAACCAUAAACUAUGCCGACUAGGGAUCGGGAUGAUGUUUAAUUUUUAAUGACUCA
Molecule: ribosomal RNA, 508 nt
Filed under: uncultured Glomeraceae
Lineage: Eukaryota; Fungi; Glomeromycota; Glomeromycetes; Glomerales; Glomeraceae
Description: SSU rRNA
Rfam family: Eukaryotic small subunit ribosomal RNA
Source: RNAcentral